RNAcentral lists this ribosomal RNA (406 nucleotides) under uncultured bacterium. Its description in RNAcentral is "partial 16S ribosomal RNA". It matches the Rfam family "Bacterial small subunit ribosomal RNA", at positions 30 to 526 of the family's 1533-position model. The record is from RNAcentral.
AUUGAACGCUGGCGGCAGGCCUAACACAUGCAAGUCGAACGAGUGGCGGACGGGUGAGUUAUGUGUGGGAAACUGCCUGAUGGAGGGGGAUAACUACUGGAAACGGUAUCUUAUACCGUAUACUAUCGUAUGUGCCCAGAUGGGAUUAGCUAGUGGGUGGGGUAAAGGCUCACCUGGGCGACGAUCCCUAGCGGGUCUGAGAGGAUGACCAGCCACACUGGAACUGAGACACGGUCCAGACUCCUACGGGAGGCAGCAGUGGGGAAUAUGGCACAAUGGGCGCAAGCCUGAUGCAGCCAUGCCGCGUGUAUGAAGAAGGCCUUCGGGUUGUAAAGUACUUUCAGCGGGGAGGCGUUACCCGCAGAAGAAGCACCGGCUAACUCCGUGCCAGCAGCCGCGGUAAUAC